UACGAAGGGGGCUAGCGUUGCUCGGAAUGACUGGGCGUAAAGGGCUCGUAGGCGGCCAACUAAGUCAGACGUGAAAUCCCUCGGCUUAACCGGGGAACUGCAUCUGAUACUGGAUGGCUUGAGUUCGGGAGAGGGAUGCGGAAUUCCAGGUGUAGCGGUGAAAUGCGUAGAUAUCUGGAAGAACACCAAUGGCGAAGGCAGCUCUCUGGGACGGUACUGACACUGAGACGCGAAAGCGUGGGGAGCGAACAGG
This 253-nucleotide ribosomal RNA is filed under the name uncultured bacterium. Its description in RNAcentral is "partial 16S ribosomal RNA". It matches the Rfam family "Bacterial small subunit ribosomal RNA", at positions 524 to 776 of the family's 1533-position model. The record is from RNAcentral.